AUCUCGAAUUACAUUUCCGACACUGUAGCAAAACAUGUACUUGUUAGUUAAUUAAUAAUUAGUAGAAUUAUUGUAUUAUUGUAGCACAACCUAAAUUUUUGAUCUCAUACUAUUUAAAUCAAACACUUUUCCAUUUUAAUGAAUUUACGAUGCCCCAGUUACUACUAAAAAUUUCUUCCAAAUUAGGAAUAGGAAACGAUGAAGAAGUCAUUUCUAAGGAAACCCUUACAGAACCGGCAAUAUUAACUCAGUCACUUGAAGCUUUUCGAGUCAUGGUAAAUGAUGCAUUUACUAAGAAAAUACUUGAUAGUCUAGAAUCAUUGUCGUGUAAUGAAGACAGCGAAAGUGAAGAAGAUAUCUGCGAAAGCCCAAAGAAAAAGAAAUGUACAUAACCAUGACCUACUCACUACAGAUAGCGCGCGAGUUAAAUGCAUACGGGGCCUGAGGGAGCAUCUCCCCCGCUGUCCACACGCUAUUGACGAUAGAACAAAAUAAUGUUCAACAAUACUAUAGAACAAAAAAGUCCGCGAUAGCAUAUGUCCAACUACUGCAGUUAUUCCAUUGUAUCUACUUUUUUACAUUUUAAAAGUUUAUAAAACUCUGUAUUAAUCCUUAUCCCAUUAAAUGAUAUUUUAGUAGAGCUUUCUAAAUUAUUAAAAUCGGACUUUCCAUUCAAAAGAUAUAACGAAGUUAAAAAAGUCAAUCUAAUGAAAAUAAUGCAGUAAUAAAAUAAGUUAUUAUUUUAUUUAAGGGAAAUAAAUCUUUUAUGAUAAAAAAAUAAAUUUACAGUCCAAUUUAGUAGACUUUCCUUUACCACGACAUCGGUAUGUACGCGAGUGUAAUCUAGAAAACUAGGUCACAGCACUAUUACAUUCCUGAACUCUGCAUUCAACUCGCGCGUUUUCUGUAGGUUUAUUAUUAUUAUUUUAAAUUUUUUUAUCUGUGUGUAAGGGUUAAUGGUGUUUCAUUGAUUGAUUCAUAAAUAAAAUUGAUUGUGUAUCAGAAAUAAAAACCUCAAUAACA
Long non-coding RNA from Leptidea sinapis, 1023 nucleotides. RefSeq lists it as uncharacterized. The transcript has 2 exons. Lineage: Eukaryota; Metazoa; Arthropoda; Insecta; Lepidoptera; Pieridae. The record is from RefSeq and is a predicted model, not a curated record.